GGUCCUAUAACUCAGCUGGUUAGAGUAUCUGACUCAUAAUCAGAAAGCCCCUGGUUCGAGUCCAGGUGGGACCA
RNAcentral lists this transfer RNA (74 nucleotides) under Brumimicrobium salinarum. It matches the Rfam family "tRNA". Rfam says of the family: Transfer RNA (tRNA) molecules are approximately 80 nucleotides in length. Their secondary structure includes four short double-helical elements and three loops (D, anti-codon, and T loops). Further hydrogen bonds mediate the characteristic L-shaped molecular structure. tRNAs have two regions of fundamental functional importance: the anti-codon, which is responsible for specific mRNA codon recognition, and the 3' end, to which the tRNAs corresponding amino acid is attached (by aminoacyl-tRNA synthetases). tRNAs cope with the degeneracy of the genetic code in two manners: having more than one tRNA (with a specific anti-codon) for a particular amino acid; and 'wobble' base-pairing, i.e. permitting non-standard base-pairing at the 3rd anti-codon position. The record is from Rfam by way of RNAcentral. Lineage: Bacteria; Pseudomonadati; Bacteroidota; Flavobacteriia; Flavobacteriales; Crocinitomicaceae.